Molecule: long non-coding RNA, 238 nt
Organism: Physeter macrocephalus (sperm whale)
Lineage: Eukaryota; Metazoa; Chordata; Mammalia; Artiodactyla; Physeteridae
Exons: 3
Source: RefSeq, a predicted model, not a curated record
GUCAGACAAAAUGCAGAGGGGGCCAAGAGGCUGGUGUGAUGUCCGGCAGGGUCAGGCAGGACAUGGAUCAGCUCAGGCCUGUAAAAUGCCCGUGAGCUGCGGACUUACAGGAAUGGCCCAUCUAAGCACUGUCAAAGAGACUCCACCAUCUCAGGAAAUCUUGCAAUGGCAGUCCCCUUCUGGAGGUCACUGAUUCUGACAAUCACCCAUGGACAAGAGUGCCUCGGUGGAAUUCCAG